This is a long non-coding RNA of Dermochelys coriacea (leatherback sea turtle), 180 nucleotides long. RefSeq lists it as uncharacterized. The transcript has 3 exons. The record is from RefSeq and is a predicted model, not a curated record. Lineage: Eukaryota; Metazoa; Chordata; Testudines; Dermochelyidae.
AAACAAAUUUGUUUGUCUUAGUGAUUGGCUGAACAAGAAGUAGGACUAAGUGGACUUGUAGGCUCUGAAGUUUUACAGUGUUCUGUUUUUGAGUGCAGUUAUGUAACAAAAAAAAAUCUAUAUUUGGUAGUUGCACUUUCACCACAAAGAGACUGCACUACAGUGCUUGCAUGGGUUGGA